This 460-nucleotide ribosomal RNA is filed under the name uncultured bacterium. Its description in RNAcentral is "partial 16S ribosomal RNA". It matches the Rfam family "Bacterial small subunit ribosomal RNA", at positions 338 to 795 of the family's 1533-position model. The record is from RNAcentral.
CCUACGGGAGGCAGCAGUGAGGAAUAUUGGUCAAUGGACGAGAGUCUGAACCAGCCAAGUAGCGUGAAGGAUGACUGCCCUAUGGGUUGUAAACUUCUUUUAUAAAGGAAUAAAACGAGGCACGUGUGCCUUUUUGCAUGUACUUUAUGAAUAAGGAUCGGCUAACUCCGUGCCAGCAGCCGCGGUAAUACGGAGGAUCCGAGCGUUAUCCGGAUUUAUUGGGUUUAAAGGGAGCGUAGAUGGGUUGUUAAGUCAGUUGUGAAAGUUUGCGGCUCAACCGUAAAAUUGCAAUUGAUACUGGCAGUCUUGAGUACAGUUGAGGUAGGCGGAAUUCGUGGUGUAGCGGUGAAAUGCUUAGAUAUCACGAAGAACCCCGAUUGCGAAGGCAGCUUACUAAACUGUGACUGACAUUGAUGCACGAAAGCGUGGGUAUCGAACAGGAUUAGAUACCCGAGUAGUC